Molecule: long non-coding RNA, 744 nt
Filed under: Carica papaya (papaya)
Lineage: Eukaryota; Viridiplantae; Streptophyta; Magnoliopsida; Brassicales; Caricaceae
Description: long non-coding RNA (CPAP_LNC015215)
Source: RNAcentral
AUUUCCUCCACUCCCUAAUCCUACUAAUGAUUUGGGACCUCCUUGUCCACAUAAUGUUAAUACACAUUAUAUUUUUUUUCAAAAUUGAAGAUUUUUAAAAAAUUAAUGUUCUUUUCUUUAAAUCCUGUCUAAUCUGUCUUGACCAAAUUUUCUAUCUCUUUAACAUCGAUCAAGAAGUGAACAAAAUAAGCUAGUUUAGAUUCAAUCCAAAUCAAGAAAAGAACAGUCAUGCUUGUGAGUAAAAUUUGUCGAUUCUACUCAGCAUUUGAGUGAAAAACAAACAUUCUUUACCCUCAAAUAGGACUCCAAAUCUCAAACUACCACACUACCCUUCUUUUUUCUUUUUCUAAUUCUUCCUACCAGUCAUAAGCAAAAAUAUUUUAUAUAUCAUGGCAUUGCGCAAUUGCCUUUCCAAGAAGCAUUAUCCCAACCGAUCAUAUUGAAGCAAUUUCCCAUUCUUAAUUUUUUCACUUAAUCUCUUUAUUACCUAGCAUGUAAGUUUCUUUAAAUUUGGUUGGUGGUAAUUAUGAGUGGUAGUUGACUUAAAUUAAAUCUACUUUUAAAGAUUGAAAAAGAAAACUACAAAACCUUCAACGUUACUCAACCCCUUUUCACUCUUCAUUUUCCACAUUUUUCAUCUUCAUUCUUCAUUUCCAUUUUAGAUGUAAUACCUGGGACUGAAAAAUUGGCCGGGAUAAAUUUUGUUAAUUUAGAUAUGUAUAAAAAUAUAUUUUAUAAAUUAAU